This 258-nucleotide ribosomal RNA is filed under the name uncultured bacterium. RNAcentral's name for it is "partial 16S ribosomal RNA". It matches the Rfam family "Bacterial small subunit ribosomal RNA", at positions 524 to 776 of the family's 1533-position model. The record is from RNAcentral.
CACGUAGGGGCAAGCGUUGUCCGGAUUUAUUGGGCGUUAAAGAGCUCGGUAGGCGGUUCGGUAAGUCGGGUGUGAAACCUCCAGGCUCAACCUGGAGACGCCACCCGAUACUGCUUGUGACUAGAGUCCGGUAGGGGAGCGUGGAAGUUCCUGGUGUAGCGGUGAAAUACGCAGAUAUCAGGAGGAACACCGAGUGGCGAAGGCAGGUCUCUGGGCCAUUACUGACACUGAGAAGCGAAAGCAUGGGGAGCGAACAGG